UUACAUUAUAUUUUGUGCUUAGCUGAAUAUUGUUGGGCUGGGGUUAUUGGGACUUUUGUUUCUGUGUUAAAUUCUGUGUACCGCUUUUGUUUUGGAUUAAUGGGUUAUUGGACUUAGAAUAGUAGGCCUAUUUUCGGCUUUUUGUAGUGGGCUUUUGUAUCGGCGUUCGUUUUUGAUUUUGUGAUUUUUUUCAUCGUGUUCCGCCUAACUUUUCUGUGUUUUUUUGGUCUGGUAUUGGUCUCGUGGGGUAGGUUCCCUGUUUUCGUAGGUGUGUGAUAGUGGGUUUGUUUGUAAAUUUAGGUUUUAUUAUCUAUUAAAUAUAUAGAACGUUAAUGGACCGUCGAUUGAAUAAUUAGAUUAAAAAUCCACCGUUUAGAGUGAAUGGGCCUACACAACUUAUAUAAAACAAAUCAAUGAUAUGUUUUUAUAAUAUUAAUAUUUUCUACCUUCCUAAGAUUAAAAUAAAAUAAAUAAAAAUAUUAUAAUAUUAAUAUGCUGUAAAAUAAAAUCCCAAAGUUUCUCUCCG
Molecule: long non-coding RNA, 526 nt
Filed under: Gossypium barbadense (sea-island cotton)
Lineage: Eukaryota; Viridiplantae; Streptophyta; Magnoliopsida; Malvales; Malvaceae
Description: long non-coding RNA (GBAR_LNC023524)
Source: RNAcentral